RNAcentral lists this ribosomal RNA (678 nucleotides) under Gongronella pedratalhadensis. RNAcentral describes it as "partial large subunit ribosomal RNA". It matches the Rfam family "Eukaryotic large subunit ribosomal RNA", at positions 59 to 644 of the family's 3401-position model. The record is from RNAcentral. Lineage: Eukaryota; Fungi; Mucoromycota; Mucoromycetes; Mucorales; Cunninghamellaceae.
AAGAAAAUAACAAUGAUUCCCCUAGUAACGGCGAGUGAAGAGGGAAAAGCUCAAGUUUGGAAGCUUCGUGGCAUAGCUACGACGCGUUGUAAACUGAAGUUUUUUGGGUGACUGGGCGACCGAAUAAAUAAGUCCUUUGGAAAGGGGCAACAUAGAGGGUGACAUUCCCGUCUUUGGUUCGAGUCAGUUCAGUCGCUGCCCAGGAAACGACGAGUCAGGUUGUUUGGGAAUGCAGCCUAAAAUGGGAGGUAAAUCUCUCCUAAAGCUAAAUACUGGCGUAAGACCGAUAGCGAACAAGUACCGUGAGGGAAAGAUGAAAAGGACUUUGAAAAGAGGGUCAAAUAGUACGUGAAAUUGUUGAAAGGGAACCGUAUGAAAGUAGACUGGCCUGGAGAUGAUCAAUGUGUGUCUCGGCACGCAUGCACUCAUUUCCGUGUGCCAGCCAGCGGCAGUUUUUGCUAAAGGAAGAAAAUUAGGGGAAUGUGGCUUCAACUUCGGUUGAAGUGUUAUAGCUCCUAGUAAAAUACUUUGGCAGAGACUGAGGCUAGCAGUGGGUCUUUGGGAACUUUGCGCGCUUGUCGUUUACAAGGCUAGUUUUCUUCGGAUGCUCGUUUUUUAAAUGGCAACUCGUGUGAUGCUUCACCCUCCCGCUUAGGUCGCUGGCGUAAUGCUUUUAUA